GAGACAGCAGUCGCCGCGGAAUACAGAGGGUGCGAGCGUUAAUCGGAUUUACUGGGCGUAAAGCGUGCGUAGGCGGCUUUUUAAGUCGGAUGUGAAAUCCCUGGGCUUAACUUAGGAAUUGCAUUCGAUACUGGGAAGCUAGAGUAUGGGAGAGGAUGGUAGAAUUCCAGGUGUAGCGGUGAAAUGCGUAGAGAUCUGGAGGAAUACCGAUGGCGAAGGCAGCCAUCUGGCCUAAUACUGACGCUGAGGUACGAAAGCAUGGGGAGCAAACAGGAUUAGAUACCCCUGUAGUCCCUGUCUCUUAUACA
This 308-nucleotide ribosomal RNA is filed under the name uncultured bacterium. RNAcentral describes it as "partial 16S ribosomal RNA". It matches the Rfam family "Bacterial small subunit ribosomal RNA", at positions 505 to 808 of the family's 1533-position model. The record is from RNAcentral.